GUUUGUUGUCCAAGGGGCACGCACCGUGGUCAGGCCAGCACCUCAUCUUUUCUGCAAACCACUUUCUCCUAUUUUCAGAACAGUAUUAUUCAGUUUAUGUGGUUCAGGGAGGUCACAUGACUCAGCCUUGUCCUAUCAGAGGACUCAAUCCUGCUGGCCACAUUGAUUGGUCCAGGAAUGGAUAUAUCCUAAGAAUGGGCCAAUCACUACUUUCCGUGAGUCUUUUCUCAGAGGUUGUGGGAAAGAUGCUUUCUCCUAAGCUGGUAUUGAGGGCUGUGUGUAGUACACAGGCUUGAGACUGUGAACUGCCAUCUUGUGUCCACCUGGAUAAAGCUUGUCUGAUAAUAAAGCAAAGUGGAGCUGAGGAAUAAAGAGAGAGACAUACAGAGGACCCUGAUGACAUUAUUUGAACCUAGAUACAGCUAAGUCUGAAGCUAGUUGUCCGGAGUUGGUGGGUUCUUGGUCUCACUGACUUCACGAAUGAAGCUGCGGACCCUCACGAUGUCUGCUCACUAAGUUGGUUCGAAGCUGAGGAGGAAAAAAAUUAGGUGCUAGGAUGCUGGAGAGAUCCUCAGAAACCCCUCUACAUGAAUCAUUUAAGUAGAUGAAGAGCUAGAUUGCAAUAAUCAUUGGGAGGAGAAGAAGAAUAAAACAUGAGAUUCCAGUCACAUCCCAGAAUUAAAGGUACUGUCGUGAUGCCCAUUUUACAGAUGAAGAAACUGAGGUUUCCAGAGGUCCGGUCCCUGCCUGAGCUAAUGCAGUUACGAAGGCUGAAGCCCGGACUUGAUUUGAGUUCGGCCUGCAGAGCCCCGGCUGAGCUACCUGCCUUCUAGCCCCACGGUGGAAAGGGAGAAUCCAGACAUCCUUGAGACCUACCCAAGGAGUUUCCCUGUUACUGCUCUGCCAUCCUUCUGAUGCCACCCUGUUCCGUAUCUGGCUGGAGCCAGCGUGGUUGUGUCUGGGUUUGGCUCCAUAGCAGAUGUUCUCGGUGGCCUUACUAUUCCUGUGCACGCCGGCCACUUUUGCCUGAAGCUCUCUGUGGCUGCCAAUGCCCACUUUGUUGAAAGUACUUGGAAAUUAAGACCCUCUAGGGAGUAUCUCUGAGUUGUGCCUGGUGAGAUUUCAUGAAGGAAUGGCCCAGCUCCUGCAGACCUAGGCGGGAUGUCUGAGGUGCACCUUCUACACGCUCUUUCAGUUGGAUUAAGUCCUAGGAUGCCCACAGGAGUCACUGAGAGGUUAACAAACAUUUUUUUUUUUUUUUUUGAGAUGGAGUCUUGCUCUGUCACCCAGGCUGGAGUGCAGUGGCCUGAUCUCAGCUCACUGCAAGCUCCACCUCCCAGGUUCAUGCCAUUUUCCUGCCUCAGCCUCCUGAGUAGCUGGGAUUACAGGCGCCCGCCACCACGCCUGGCUAAUUUUUUGUAUUUUUAGUACAGACCAGGUUUCACCGUGUUAGCCAGGAUGGUCUCGAUCUCUUGACCUUGUGAUCCACCUGCCUCGGCCUCCCAAAGUGUUGGAAUUAUAGGCUUGAGCCACCACGCACAGCUGACAUUUCCACUUUUGUCUUUUGGCCCAGAUGUUGACAUUUUCUGAGCUCCCAAAGAAUUUACAGACAUUUUUCCUAGGUCAGAGUAAAAGGGAUCCCCUUUGUUCUGGAUCUUCUCUUGCCUUGAUCAUCAGAUCAAGUUGAGGAAAUGGUCCCUUGGGAAGCUAAUCCCAGUGGCUUGGUAAACUUACACCCUUUCUUUUGAUGUCAGGCCUUUUAAAACAUCAGGGCCACUUUCCUUUACUUGUCCAGGAUGGAAACAUUUGGCAGCACUUUUUGCAGUAUCCUUCCAUUCAACAGCCACAUGCCCCAGCUGAGGGCUUGGCACCAUGGAAAAGCAAUGAAGAUUCAAGAACGAACCAGCUUAGCACAGGUGAUUUUUAGGGCAGUGAGACUAUUCUAUGUGACACUGUAAUGGUGGAUCCAAUGGUGGAUGGUCACAUCCAUCCACAGAAUGUGCAGCACACCAGGAGAGAAACCUACACUAUGGACUUAAGAGUAAUGUAUCAAUAUUGACUCAUCAAUUGCAACAAAUGCACUACAUUAAAGCCACGUGUUAAUAACAGAGGAAACAGGAUGGGACGAUUUGAGGGCAUAUAUGGGAACACUAUACUUUCUGCUCAUUUUUCUGUAAAGCUUAAGCUAUUCUAAAGAAUAAAGUCUAUUCAUUAAACAACAAAAAUGAAUGAGCCUUUGCCCUUACAGAAUUCACCGUCAAGAGGAAGAGGAGGCUGGGUACAGUGGCUCAUGCUUGUAAUCCCAGCACUUUGAGAGGCCAAGAUGGGCAGAUCACUUGGGCCCAGGAGUUCAAGACCAGCCUGGACAACAUAGAGAAACCCUACCUCUACAAAAAAUACAAAAAUUAGCUGGGCGUGGUGGUACAUGCCUGUAGUCCCAGCUACUCAAGAGGUUGAGGUGGGAGGAUUGAUGGAGCCCAAGAGGUUGAUGCUGCAAUGAACCAUGAUUUUGACACUGUGCUCCAGCCUGGGCAAGAGAGUGAGACCCUGUCUGGAAAAAAAAAGAGGAAGGGGAGACGAGUAGAUAAGCCGAUCAUGUCAAG
Long non-coding RNA from Pan troglodytes (chimpanzee), 2603 nucleotides. RefSeq lists it as uncharacterized. The record is from RefSeq and is a predicted model, not a curated record. NCBI's taxonomy places the organism in Eukaryota, Metazoa, Chordata, Mammalia, Primates, Hominidae. The transcript has 3 exons.